Daktulosphaira vitifoliae (grape phylloxera) is the source of this 736-nucleotide long non-coding RNA. RefSeq lists it as uncharacterized. NCBI's taxonomy places the organism in Eukaryota, Metazoa, Arthropoda, Insecta, Hemiptera, Phylloxeridae. The record is from RefSeq and is a predicted model, not a curated record. The transcript has 3 exons.
AAAACAUAAAAGAAAUAUAAUUUGUUCUUUUUUCUAUGAAUUAAACUCUCAAUUUAUUUAAAACGUUCAGUAGACAGUGAUUCAAUUGUUGAAACUGUUGCUUUUGAAGUUUUUUUCUACUACUACAUUAAGCUAAAAUACUUGUUAUUAGAAAAUGGUAUUUUAUAUGUUUUUUGUUCAGAUGUAAAGAUCUUAUGAAUAGAGUUGGAAUUAUUGAAAUAGUAUCAAAAGUUAAAAUGAAGAUGUAGUUAAUUACGUGUUGAUGAUGGUUUCAUUGAAAAAUAUUUACUUAGCUUAGAGUUAUGCAAAGCAAUUGAUUUUAUUAUGAAAGAAAAUACUAAAAAUUUUAUGGGUGGCUAACUAUAAUAAUGAACAAACUACAACUUGUUACUGUUUCUUCUUCUACAAGAAAAAAUUAUGAUAAACACAUAUAUUAAGUUAGAUUAAUGUCUAAUAUUUAAUCCUUAGUAUUUAUGUUUAAUCCAUGACUUAAUAGUUUUACCACUGAAUUUUUUUAAUUUAAAAUAUUUAAAUUAAUCUUUUUUAUUAGACAUUUAUUGUAAAAAGAAAGAUGAAAAUUUUUUUGAUUGAAAAUUUGACUCAUAUGAUAAAACUUUAUUAGCUGUAUUAAUAAUACAGCUUUGUCAGCGAACAGAGAGUCAGGUAGUUCGGACCGGUUGACCAACUGCCUAGCAUCACAGAAAGGAUCGGUACUACCUACCAGGCUGAAAGGUAA